CGCAUUUCAGUUUGAACCCCCGAAACUAAGUGAGCUACUUCGAGGCAGUUUUAAGAACAACCCCAUCUCUGUUGCAAAAGAGUGGGAUGACCUCCAAGUAGAGGCGACAAACCUACCGCACUUAGAGAUAGCUGGUUACUCAAGAAAAGAAUUUAAGUUCAACCUAAAGUUUUCUAAUUACACAAAAAUACAAUAAAACUUUAGAGCUACUCAAAUAAGGCACAGCUUAUUUGAAAUAGGACCCAACCUAAAACAUCGGGUAAUAUAAACAAGCAAGUAACAAGUGGGCCUAAGAGCAGCCACCUACAAAAAGCGUUAAAGCUUAAUACUUAAACUGUAUUAAUACCACCACUACCCUAGAACCCCUCACCAAUAUUGAGUAAUUCCAUAAGCAUAUGGAAGCUAUUAUGCUAGAAUGAGUAACAAGAAAUAGCUUUUCUCCUAAAUGUAAGCUUAAGCCAUAAUAGACCAACUACCGGCAAUUAACGCAUAUGAAGACGCUACAGCAACCCAAACAAGAAAACCCUGUAUCAACUCACGUUAACCUUACACCAGAACAUUUAAGGAAAGAUUAAAAGAAAAAGAAGGAACUCGGC
RNAcentral lists this ribosomal RNA (596 nucleotides) under Mantidactylus melanopleura. Its description in RNAcentral is "partial 16S ribosomal RNA". The stretch from base 1 to 414 matches the Rfam family "Bacterial large subunit ribosomal RNA", at positions 696 to 1300 of the family's 2925-position model. Lineage: Eukaryota; Metazoa; Chordata; Amphibia; Anura; Mantellidae. The record is from RNAcentral.